UACGGGGGGAGCAAGCGUUGUUCGGAUUUACUGGGCGUAAAGGGCGCGUAGGCGGUCGUGACAAGUCACUUGUGAAAUCUCCGGGCUUAACUCGGAACGGUCAAGUGAUACUGUCGGACUAGAGUACAGAAGGGGCAACUGGAAUUCUCGGUGUAGCGGUGAAAUGCGUAGAUAUCGAGAGGAACACCUGCGGCGGAGGCGGGUUGCUGGGCUGAUACUGACGCUGAGGCGCGAAAGCCAGGGGAGCGAACGGG
RNAcentral lists this ribosomal RNA (254 nucleotides) under uncultured bacterium. Its description in RNAcentral is "partial 16S ribosomal RNA". It matches the Rfam family "Bacterial small subunit ribosomal RNA", at positions 524 to 776 of the family's 1533-position model. The record is from RNAcentral.